Molecule: ribosomal RNA, 482 nt
Filed under: uncultured bacterium
Lineage: Bacteria
Description: partial 16S ribosomal RNA
Rfam family: Bacterial small subunit ribosomal RNA
Source: RNAcentral
GAUGAACGCUAGCGGCAGGCCUAAUACAUGCAAGUCGGACGGGAUUCAGGAGCUUGCUUCUGAUGAGAGUGGCGCACGGGUGCGUAACACGUAUGUAACCUACCUUUAUCAGGGGGAUAGCCUCUCGAAAGAGAGAUUAAGCCCGCAUAAAAUCACAGCACAGCAUUGUGUAAUGAUCAAAUAUUUAUAGGAUAAAGAUGGGCAUGCGGAACAUUAGCUAGAUGGCGGGGUAACGGCCCACCAUGGCGACGAUGUUUAGGGGAUCUGAGAGGAUGGCCCCCCACACUGGUACUGAGACACGGACCAGAAUCCUACGGGAGGCAGCAGUAAGGAAUAUUGGUCAAUGGGCGGAAGCCUGAACCAGCCAUGCCGCGUGCAGGAAGGCGGCCCUACGGGUUGUAAACUGCUUUUAUACGGGAAUAAACCCAGAUACGUGUAUCUGGCUGAAUGUACUGUAAGAAUAAGGAUCGGCUAACUCCGUG